UGAUCUAGUGACGGAUUGUGUAAUAUUUUAUUUAAGGAAAAAAAUCCGGUGACUAUAAAUAAUGUGGAACGGAAAAAUUGCGUUACGACGCUAUCAGUGCGUCUGACGUCACCCAAAUUUGAACGUUUUUUUCUUGGGUUUACGACGGCUGCUGACCGUUAAGCCGUCUUUCGCGCGGAUUUCUCCCAUCAUUCAGUGACUAGGAUUUCAACGUUUCUCGAAGCUCAUUCAUGCAAUGCUUCCAGACUGUCCAUCUGGACAACUUCAAGUACAUCUCCUCUAUCUUCCAUUUGAAGCCUCCUACUCUGGUUUGCCAGCAUCUCACUUACCUCCAAUAGAAGUUUAAGAAGUGCAUGAAAAUUGGUGGGGCUACUCCAAAGGAAAAAAUUGACCAGCAGAUUCUUAACCAAUGCGCUUAUGUGUAAAUUUAACAUGAAGGGAUCGAGAUGGGAGAAAGCAUCUUUUGAGAAGACAGCGCUUUGUAAAUUAAUAAUUGACAGUGUGGUAAAGAGCCAUGGGGUUACAGAAGCCUUUGUUCACAGCUUCAUUGCCAGCAGACUAAGAAAUGCACCAAAGCGUCAAGGAAGACCAGACAUGGUAUAAUUAUUAUUGUAGCGAGUGCUAUGGUUUGAUUUAGACAGUCAUCUAACUGGUCACAAGUGUUUCAUUUAUUUUUUUAGUGCCAAAUAUUGUGGCAUGUGUUAGUAUUAUGCACUACACCCAAUUGUAAUGUGCAUCUCAUUUAGUUUGUUUUGAUGUAUAUCUAAAUAAAUCCAUUAUAAUUGAA
Molecule: long non-coding RNA, 787 nt
Organism: Brienomyrus brachyistius
Lineage: Eukaryota; Metazoa; Chordata; Actinopteri; Osteoglossiformes; Mormyridae
Exons: 5
Source: RefSeq, a predicted model, not a curated record